AUAUAUUUUCGGAUUCCCCAUCAUUUGACUGUUAAAUGACACUAAAUCCAAACUGAUUAAAAAUCGGAUUUAAUUUUUAAUAUAAUGCGGCAUACACGAAAUUAAAUAUCAUGCUUUUUUGUUGCAGAUUAGUGGAUGCAAAUUUGACAAAAGGGUAUAAAAAUGAAGAUUUCUACAAUGUGAGGUCACUGCGGAAUUUCAGAAAUUAGUGGAUGCAAAUUCGACAAAAGGGUAUAAAAAUGAAGAUUUCUACAAUGUGAGGUCACUGCGGAAUUUCAGAAGUAUAUUUUCGGAUUCCCCAUCAUUUGACUGUUAAAUGACACUAAAUCCAAACUGAUUGAAAAUCGGAUUUAGUUUUUAAUAUAAUGCGGCAUACACGAAAUUAAAUAUCAUGCUUUUCUGUUGCAGAUUAGUGGAUGCAAAUUCGACAAAAGGGUAUAAAAAUGAAGAUUUCUACAGUGAGGUCACUGCCGAAUUUCAGAAAAACUGAUUUUCUAAUCGUUAGCAGAGAAGCUACUACAUAUAUGCAUUUAUGAGGCGUCUCAGGUCAAGAGUUCUCACUGGAAAAACAUCCAAAAAAAUUAUUGUACAGAAAAUUUAAAGGUUUGUAUAUUUCAGGUCGACAUUUUGUUAACCACGACAACGCUAUAUUUACAACAAAAUUUAUCAACAGAUGCUUUGAAAUAAAAAGGAAUAAACAAAUAAAAUCUGUAAAAAAGGAAAGCCAUAAAUAAAGCAAA
This is a long non-coding RNA of Rhagoletis zephyria (snowberry fruit fly), 740 nucleotides long. RefSeq lists it as uncharacterized. The record is from RefSeq and is a predicted model, not a curated record. NCBI's taxonomy places the organism in Eukaryota, Metazoa, Arthropoda, Insecta, Diptera, Tephritidae.